GACGAACGCUGGCGGCGUGCUUAACACAUGCAAGUCGAACGGAAAGGCCCCCACUUUUUUGGUGGGGGUGCUCGAGUGGCGAACGGGUGAGUAACACGUGGGUGAUCUGCCCUGUACUUCGGGCUAAGCUUGGGAAACUUGGUCUAAUACCGGUUAGGACCAUGGUUUAGUGUCUUAUGGUCGAACAAUUUUUGUUUUGGUUCAGGAUGAGCUCGCGGCCUAUCAGCUUGUUGGUUGCGUAAUGGCCUACCCAUGCGUCGACAGGUAGCCGGCCUGGGAGGGUGGACGGCCAGAUAGGGAGAGAGAGACGGCACAGACACGGACGGGAGGCAGCAGUGAGGAAGAAUGAACGAUGGGCGCAAGCCUGAUGCAGGGACGGCGCGUGGGGGAUGACGGCCUUCGGGUUGUAAACUCCUUUCGUUAGGGACGAAGGCGAACCUUUUUUGGGUGUGGUGACGGUACCUUUGUUAAGAAGCACCGGCUAACUACGUG
Molecule: ribosomal RNA, 492 nt
Filed under: uncultured bacterium
Lineage: Bacteria
Description: partial 16S ribosomal RNA
Rfam family: Bacterial small subunit ribosomal RNA
Source: RNAcentral